GAUGAACGCUGGCGGCGUGCUUAACACAUGCAAGUCGAACGGAAAGGCCAGUGCUUGCACUGGUACUCGAGCGGCGAACGGGUGAGUAACACGUGGGUGAUCUGCCCUGCACUUCGGGAUAAGCCUGGGAAACUGGGUCUAAUACCGGAUAGGACAAUGGUUUGGAUGCCGUUGUGGAAAGUUUUUUCGGUGUGGGAUGAGCUCGCGGCCUAUCAGCUUGUUGGUGGGGUAAUGGCCUACCAAGGCGUCGACGGGUAGCCGGCCUGAGAGGGUGUACGGCCACAUUGGGACUGAGAUACGGCCCAGACUCCUACGGGAGGCAGCAGUGGGGAAUAUUGCACAAUGGGCGCAAGCCUGAUGCAGCGACGCCGCGUGGGGGAUGACGGCCUUCGGGUUGUAAACUCCUUUCGCUAGGGACGAAGCGUAUUUGUGACGGUACCUGGAGAAGAAGCACCGGCUAACUACGUG
RNAcentral lists this ribosomal RNA (468 nucleotides) under uncultured bacterium. RNAcentral describes it as "partial 16S ribosomal RNA". It matches the Rfam family "Bacterial small subunit ribosomal RNA", at positions 28 to 507 of the family's 1533-position model. The record is from RNAcentral.